AUUAUCAUCUCUUUGGGCUUGGAUAAGAAUGGUUGCUAUUUGGACUGUUUAUUUGGCUUUGGAUUUUUGCCCUUUUAGAAAGAAGAUGUGUGCCAUACUGUAAAAAACUGAGCACUUAUUUGACAGCCACCUUUCUUGGCCUAAACAUAUGUUUAUUUAUAUGGCAGAUAUACAGGUCUUUAUCUGUUUUUAUGGAAUUGAUAAAGUGCAGAAAGUAUGAUGUUAGCAUAUUUAAACAUGGUUUUGUUUUGUAAGUGUUUUUAUAACUUUCAGACAAAGAAGUACAAAUCUCAAGAAAUUUCAAAUGAAAAAGCUUUUAAGCAGGUUUUAAACUUUUAAUUAAUUAGCAAAAUUUAGAAGUUUUUCACUCUUAUUAACGUCUCAGAUACUGCUGGAGAUGAGAAUAAGAACAAUGGUGUUUCAAAUUGUGAUAUACUUCCUGUGAGUGCACAUAAAUUAGAUGAAAGAAGAAAUAAACAACAGCCACAGAACAAUUAUUUUUAGGUUUUUUUUUUUAAGACAGAGUCUUUCUGUUGCCCAGGCUAGAGUGCAGAGGCACUAUCUUGACUCAAUGCAACCUCUGCCUCCCAGGUUCAACCAAUUCUCCUGCCUCAGCCUCAAGAGUAGCUGGGAUUACAGUCACCCACCACAACACCUGGAAAACAAUUUAAUCAAUGCAAUUUUAGAAGAUAUUAUAAGUGGUAGCCUGAGGGAGGAGUUGAUGGUAACUUCAUAAGAAACUAUUGUUAGCUCUUGGUGAUGUCACUGACCUCCUGUGCAUCUGAUACUGCUCACAAGUUCCACGUAAGUACAGGUUAAGCAUGUGGCUUGGUCCCAUCCUUAAGGAUUCUGAUUCGGUAGUUCUAGUUGGAAUCUGGAAAUCUAUACAAAUACUUGAGCGGUUUCUGAUUUUGAUUCUUAAAGGAAAGCAUACUGAGAAACACAGAUCUAAAUACCCUUCUACCAGUGAAGGCCUGCGAACUGCCUCCGUAUGCACUUCCCCUUCUCUACUGAAUGCUUUCCUUUUUUCCACUGGUUCAUUUUGACUAAUUGCAAAAUCUUCACAGAACACCCUGAGCAGAAUACAUGGUCCUUCCCAGUGCUCACUAUCCAUCCCAUACAGUAACAUUGCUUUAGUGCAUUGAACUAUACUUAUUUUAUUUUACAUUUUCCCCGAUUAGCUUCUCAGCUCUUUAAGGGUAAGGACUAGAGUUCUUUUUUCUUUUUAGUGUGCGUAUUUAUUUUUUAAUCCCCAGUGCAAGGGGUAGUGCCUCAUAUACAGAAAGCACUCAAAACAUAUUUAAAUAAAUCAAUAUGUUAAAAUAAAUUGAUGGAAACAAUACAUCAAACAAGGCUGUUUCUGUAUAAACCUGGCUCUGGCUUGGAACGAAUUUGAAACACAAGCCAAAUAUUAUUUGGUGAGA
This 1424-nucleotide long non-coding RNA is filed under the name Callithrix jacchus (white-tufted-ear marmoset). RNAcentral's name for it is "lncRNA (ENSCJAG00000075841.1)". The record is from RNAcentral. Lineage: Eukaryota; Metazoa; Chordata; Mammalia; Primates; Cebidae.